This 723-nucleotide ribosomal RNA is filed under the name Pseudomonas sp. 2.2.5-09. RNAcentral describes it as "bacterial SSU rRNA". It matches the Rfam family "Bacterial small subunit ribosomal RNA", at positions 54 to 773 of the family's 1533-position model. The record is from RNAcentral. Lineage: Bacteria; Pseudomonadati; Pseudomonadota; Gammaproteobacteria; Pseudomonadales; Pseudomonadaceae.
CAUGCAGUCGAGCGGUAGAGAGAAGCUUGCUUCUCUUGAGAGCGGCGGACGGGUGAGUAAUGCCUAGGAAUCUGCCUGGUAGUGGGGGAUAACGUUCGGAAACGAACGCUAAUACCGCAUACGUCCUACGGGAGAAAGCAGGGGACCUUCGGGCCUUGCGCUAUCAGAUGAGCCUAGGUCGGAUUAGCUAGUUGGUGAGGUAAUGGCUCACCAAGGCGACGAUCCGUAACUGGUCUGAGAGGAUGAUCAGUCACACUGGAACUGAGACACGGUCCAGACUCCUACGGGAGGCAGCAGUGGGGAAUAUUGGACAAUGGGCGAAAGCCUGAUCCAGCCAUGCCGCGUGUGUGAAGAAGGUCUUCGGAUUGUAAAGCACUUUAAGUUGGGAGGAAGGGCAGUUACCUAAUACGUGAUUGUUUUGACGUUACCGACAGAAUAAGCACCGGCUAACUCUGUGCCAGCAGCCGCGGUAAUACAGAGGGUGCAAGCGUUAAUCGGAAUUACUGGGCGUAAAGCGCGCGUAGGUGGUUUGUUAAGUUGGAUGUGAAAUCCCCGGGCUCAACCUGGGAACUGCAUUCAAAACUGACUGACUAGAGUAUGGUAGAGGGUGGUGGAAUUUCCUGUGUAGCGGUGAAAUGCGUAGAUAUAGGAAGGAACACCAGUGGCGAANGCGACCACCUGGACUAAUACUGACACUGANGUGCGAAAGCGUGGGGAGCCAAC